GAUGAACGCUGGCGGCGUGCCUAAUACAUGCAAGUCGAGCGAACGGACGAGAAGCUUGCUUCUCUGAUGUUAGCGGCGGACGGGUGAGUAACACGUGGAUAACCUACCUAUAAGACUGGGAUAGCUUCGGGAAACCGGAGCUAAUACCGGAUAAUAUUUUGAACCGCAUGGUUCAAAAGUGAAAGACGGUCUUGCUGCCACUUAUAGAUGGAUCCGCGCUGCAUUAGCUAGUUGGUAAGGUAACGGCUUACCAAGGCAACGAUGCAUAGCCGACCUGAGAGGGUGAUCGGCCACACUGGAACUGAGACACGGUCCAGACUCCUACGGGAGGCAGCAGUAGGGAAUCUUCCGCAAUGGGCGAAAGCCUGACGGAGCAACGCCGCGUGAGUGAUGAAGGUCUUCGGAUCGUAAAACUCUGUUAUUAGGGAAGAACAUAUGUGUAAGUAACUGUGCACAUCUUGACGGUACCUAAUCAGAAAGCCACGGCUAACUACGUG
Molecule: ribosomal RNA, 497 nt
Filed under: uncultured bacterium
Lineage: Bacteria
Description: partial 16S ribosomal RNA
Rfam family: Bacterial small subunit ribosomal RNA
Source: RNAcentral